UUUUUCCUCAAGCAUCGCUUUAGCAUCUUGGUAUUGCUUUUUUACUUCUUUAUAUUCACGGUACGUUUGCACAGUUUCUUGUAUAUCAGACUGCUCUUUUGAAUAUUCACGCAG
RNAcentral lists this non-coding RNA (114 nucleotides) under Bacillus methanolicus MGA3. The record is from RNAcentral. Lineage: Bacteria; Bacillati; Bacillota; Bacilli; Caryophanales; Bacillaceae.